This is a long non-coding RNA of Bos taurus (domestic cattle), 634 nucleotides long. The record is from Ensembl. Lineage: Eukaryota; Metazoa; Chordata; Mammalia; Artiodactyla; Bovidae.
GCCAAGGAAUGUGGGCUCCCCCCGGGACUGGAAACAGAUUCUCCCCUAGAAACUCCAGCAGGAACGCAGCCCUGAUAAUGUGUUGAUGUUAGCCCCUAACAUCCCUUUGGCACUUCUGGCUUCCAGAGCUACAAGAUAACACAGUUGCAUUCUUUUAAGCUACUACGUCUGUGUGUUUUCUUAUAGCAGCCCUAGGAGACUCAUGCAUGGUCACGGGCCAUCCCUUCUUCACAAAAAUAUGGCAGGUGGCAGUCUUUCAGAAGACAGCAAGGAUGCGCUGGCAUAGGCUGUCCUGUAUCCCAGAUUCCCGGAGGUGAGGGAAUUGAGGCCCAGAGAGGUUAAGAAACUUGCUGAUGGUCACCCAGCAGAAUGGAGCUGAUAAUAACAACUCCCCUCUGGAAGCCAAGAGACCGGGCCUCAGAACCUCUUAAGAAAAUUAAGAAGAGCCGGUGUACACUGACCGCCUACAUGAGAAGAUGCUGUUGCAAUUUUAGCCAUCACCGUUUCGACUGUCCUCGUUUGACCAGUGAGAAAACUGAGGCCCAGAGAGGUGAAGUCACCGACCAAGGACGCACAGCAAGGUAAGGAAACUGACGCUCGCCUGCCCAAGGUCACCCAGCCACUCACAUGGGAG